GACGAACGCUGGCGGCGUGCUUAACACAUGCAAGUCGAACGGAAAGGCCCUGCUUUUUUGGGGUGCUCGAGUGGCGAACGGGUGAGUAACACGUGAGUAACCUGCCCUUGACUUUGGUAUAACUUCAGGAAACUGGGGCUAAUACCGGAUAGGAGCUCCUGCUGCAUUGUGGGGGUUGGAAAGUUUCGGCGGUUGGGGAUGGACUCGCGGCUUAUCAGCUUGUUGGUGGGGGAGUGGCUUACCAAGGCUUUGACGGGUAGCCGGCCUGAGAGGGUGACCGGCCACAUUGGGACUGAGAUACGGACCAGACUCCUACGGGAGGCAGCAGUGGGGAAUAUUGCACAAUGGGCGGAAGCCUGAGGCAGCAACGCCGCGUGCGGGAUGACGGCCUUCGGGUUGUAAACCGCUUUCGCCUGUGACGAAGCGUGAGUGACGGUAAUGGGUAAAGAAGCACCGGCUAACUACGUG
Molecule: ribosomal RNA, 468 nt
Filed under: uncultured bacterium
Lineage: Bacteria
Description: partial 16S ribosomal RNA
Rfam family: Bacterial small subunit ribosomal RNA
Source: RNAcentral